This 301-nucleotide ribosomal RNA is filed under the name uncultured bacterium. RNAcentral's name for it is "partial 16S ribosomal RNA". It matches the Rfam family "Bacterial small subunit ribosomal RNA", at positions 509 to 807 of the family's 1533-position model. The record is from RNAcentral.
CAGCAGCCGCGGGAAUACGAAGGGUGCAAGCGUUAAUCGGAAUUAAUGGGCGUAAAGCGCGCGUAGGUGGUUUGGUAAGAUGGAUGUGAAAUCCCCGGGCUCAACCUGGGAAAUGCAUCCAUAACUGCCUGACUAGAGUACGGUAGAGGGUGGUGGAAUUUCCUGUGUAGCGGUGAAAUGAGUAGAUAUAGGAAGGAACACCAGUGGCGAAGGCGACCACCUGGACUGAUACUGACACUGAGGUGCGAAAGCGUGGGGAGCAAACAGGAUUAGAUACCCCCGUAGUCCCUGUCUCUUAUAC